Long non-coding RNA from Gadus macrocephalus (Pacific cod), 658 nucleotides. RefSeq lists it as uncharacterized. Lineage: Eukaryota; Metazoa; Chordata; Actinopteri; Gadiformes; Gadidae. The transcript has 3 exons. The record is from RefSeq and is a predicted model, not a curated record.
UCAUAAAUAUUGAUUUUCAGCUUGCCUCAGCCCUUGACCACCUUGGCUUCUUUGGGGUCAUUCAUGGCGACCUGAAGCCUGAAAACAUCAUGAUGACAGGACAGGGCACUCGAGUCAAAAUUAUUGACUUCGGCUUAUCGAUCCAUGUGUCCAAGGCUAAAAUUGGCCACAAUUUCGGGACCCUCUGGUACAGGUGAGUAACUGACAGCCAUCCUGACUUGGUUGGUUCCUAUUGGUUACUAAUUAGAAUGGUUGCUCCAAUUUCCUAUCUUUCUUUCAUUUCAGAUCCCCAGAGGUAAUGCUGGGUCUACCAUAUUCAGUUAUGACUGAUAUGUGGUCCCUGGGUUGCCUGACAGCCGAAUUGUUAAUUGGACGCCCCAUUUAUCCCGGCUACACAGAGUAUGAUAUGUGGGCAUACAUCAUUCAGACCCAUGGUGAGCUUCCGGAUACUAUGCUGGAACAAGGCAUCAGAACACCUUUGUGCUUCACCAAAGGAUCGCUCUGGAGACUCAAGACAAAACGGGAGUAUUUGAAGAGUACGAGGAGCAAGGGGCUCAGGAAGGACCGGCCCAGAUCUUCCUUUUUCAACUCCCUGGAGGAGGUUGUCGAAGUAGGUGUUGAUCCAGUCACGUUGUAGACUUAAAUGCACUGGCCAUGU